RNAcentral lists this long non-coding RNA (329 nucleotides) under Malus domestica (apple). RNAcentral's name for it is "long non-coding RNA (MDOM_LNC009094)". The record is from RNAcentral. Lineage: Eukaryota; Viridiplantae; Streptophyta; Magnoliopsida; Rosales; Rosaceae.
AUUUCGUACGGCUCUUCAACGACGGAGUAUCUGUAAGUGGACCCCUUCUAAAAUGCAUAUUUUAAUAGUAGAAAUGCAUACAUGAAAAACAUGAUUUAAUGGUUACGUUUUAUGAGUAAAUUAGAUUUACACUUUAUGAUUAUCAUGCUCUACUGAGAAUAUUUUGGAAUACCAUACUUUAUCGAAUUUAUGUUCUUUGUAGUAUAUAUGAUGGAUGACUAUAUACUAUUUAUGAACAUGUUUUUACACUCUUUGUAGUAUAUAUGAUGGAUGACUAUAUACUAUGAAGAUGUUUUGAGAUAUAUGUACGUAUGUUGGAAAGAUUAUAU